GGCAUCACAAGAUUUAGAGCCCUUUCUUCCACGACCCAUGCAAAGGUAUCGAAUGCAGAUGGGGGCGGAUGGGGUAGUGGGAGGAGCGGGGGUCGAAGAAAUUGAAGUCUCUUGCAGAAGCAGUAGGGGAUUCUUCUGCUCUUUAGAAGGAUCAUCGCAUAACAUAGUUGUUGGAAAGGACGGAGGACCGGGGAUCUUUAUCUUUGCUGCUGGCGGGCGCUGAUUUGGAACCGUUGCAUCCACUGGCGGACGCAGGAAUUGGUGGAGAAGCGGCUAGCUGUGAGAAGGGAUUUGGGGAAGGAUUUGAGAGGGGAUUCUGCACAUAAUCGAGGGAGGAGGGAGUGGCGGAUGUGAUAGGAUUCGAAGGGAGAUUUAGGGAGGGAUUUGAGGAGGUAAUUUGGGGGAG
This 406-nucleotide long non-coding RNA is filed under the name Musa acuminata (dwarf banana). RNAcentral's name for it is "long non-coding RNA (MACU_LNC000599)". Lineage: Eukaryota; Viridiplantae; Streptophyta; Magnoliopsida; Zingiberales; Musaceae. The record is from RNAcentral.